Molecule: ribosomal RNA, 1347 nt
Filed under: Salmonella enterica subsp. enterica serovar Enteritidis
Lineage: Bacteria; Pseudomonadati; Pseudomonadota; Gammaproteobacteria; Enterobacterales; Enterobacteriaceae
Description: partial 23S ribosomal RNA
Rfam family: Bacterial large subunit ribosomal RNA
Source: RNAcentral
AAAUCCGGUUCACUUUAACACUGAGGCGUGACGACGAGGCACUACGGUGCUGAAGCAACAAAUGCCCUGCUUCCAGGAAAAGCCUCUAAGCAUCAGGUAACAUCAAAUCGUACCCCAAACCGACACAGGUGGUCAGGUAGAGAAUACCAAGGCGCUUGAGAGAACUCGGGUGAAGGAACUAGGCAAAAUGGUGCCGUAACUUCGGGAGAAGGCACGCUGACACGUAGGUGAAGUGAUUUACUCAUGGAGCUGAAGUCAGUCGAAGAUACCAGCUGGCUGCAACUGUUUAUUAAAAACACAGCACUGUGCAAACACGAAAGUGGACGUAUACGGUGUGACGCCUGCCCGGUGCCGGAAGGUUAAUUGAUGGGGUCAGCGCAAGCGAAGCUCCUGAUCGAAGCCCCGGUAAACGGCGGCCGUAACUAUAACGGUCCUAAGGUAGCGAAAUUCCUUGUCGGGUAAGUUCCGACCUGCACGAAUGGCGUAAUGAUGGCCAGGCUGUCUCCACCCGAGACUCAGUGAAAUUGAACUCGCUGUGAAGAUGCAGUGUACCCGCGGCAAGACGGAAAGACCCCGUGAACCUUUACUAUAGCUUGACACUGAACAUUGAGCCUUGAUGUGUAGGAUAGGUGGGAGGCUUUGAAGUGUGGACGCCAGUCUGCAUGGAGCCGACCUUGAAAUACCACCCUUUAAUGUUUGAUGUUCUAACGUGGACCCGUUACCCGGGUUGCGGACAGUGUCUGGUGGGUAGUUUGACUGGGGCGGUCUCCUCCUAAAGAGUAACGGAGGAGCACGAAGGUUGGCUAAUCCUGGUCGGACAUCAGGAGGUUAGUGCAAUGGCAUAAGCCAGCUUGACUGCGAGCGUGACGGCGCGAGCAGGUGCGAAAGCAGGUCAUAGUGAUCCGGUGGUUCUGAAUGGAAGGGCCAUCGCUCAACGGAUAAAAGGUACUCCGGGGAUAACAGGCUGAUACCGCCCAAGAGUUCAUAUCGACGGCGGUGUUUGGCACCUCGAUGUCGGCUCAUCACAUCCUGGGGCUGAAGUAGGUCCCAAGGGUAUGGCUGUUCGCCAUUUAAAGUGGUACGCGAGCUGGGUUUAGAACGUCGUGAGACAGUUCGGUCCCUAUCUGCCGUGGGCGCUGGAGAACUGAGGGGGGCUGCUCCUAGUACGAGAGGACCGGAGUGGACGCAUCACUGGUGUUCGGGUUGUCAUGCCAAUGGCACUGCCCGGUAGCUAAAUGCGGAAGAGAUAAGUGCUGAAAGCAUCUAAGCACGAAACUUGCCCCGAGAUGAGUUCUCCCUGAGACUUAGAGUCUCCUGAAGGAACGUUGAAGACGACGACGUUGAUAG